UGCUGUUCCAGUUCAAGCACACCCACCUCUUCUGUUUCUAUAGUGUCCAAACCAAGUAACUUUGUACUCCUUUGUGAGGUUCCCAUCUAACUAUGCUGAUGGACAGAUGCAGUGCAACCCAUCUAGAGAUUCUUGGAUUUACAGAAAAUUAUGCUGUGGCUCUUUGCCAGCAAGGAAAUAAUCUGGACACAAACUUGAACUGCUGAGCAGAUUAAAGGCAAACAAAGGGACAGUGAUGAAAACAGCAAAAAAAAAUGCUGUGCAUCUGAAUGUUACCAGAAUUUACCCAAUGUAGCAACCCCGAGUGGAAAAGAAGGAAAGCUGAAGCUUUGAAAAAUUUCCUGAAGGACACCUAAUUGUAAUUCCUACUUUGAUUUCUCUGUAAAGUUUCUGAAUGCUUCUGGAUGACUACAGUGACAAUUCCCUGACCUGCUGUCCAGAUGAUUGACUGGUUGAUAAUGUCUUUAAUGUUUUGUCAUGUUUUGCCAACAUUGUUUUUAACAAAUCCCAAG
RNAcentral lists this long non-coding RNA (512 nucleotides) under Notechis scutatus (mainland tiger snake). RNAcentral's name for it is "lncRNA (ENSNSUG00000019059.1)". Lineage: Eukaryota; Metazoa; Chordata; Lepidosauria; Squamata; Elapidae. The record is from RNAcentral.